This is a long non-coding RNA of Ruditapes philippinarum (Manila clam), 3596 nucleotides long. RefSeq lists it as uncharacterized. NCBI's taxonomy places the organism in Eukaryota, Metazoa, Mollusca, Bivalvia, Venerida, Veneridae. The transcript has 3 exons. The record is from RefSeq and is a predicted model, not a curated record.
GUGUAACUUGCUACAAAAUACCUACUUUUCAAUUUUUGAUUGGCAUGAGUGAUAUUUCAAUGGAGCAUAUCUCUGUUAUCUACAUCUCUGUUAUAGGUUUAAAACAAGCAAACAUGAUAGGAUCAGUUGUUGUUUUAUAGACAUAACAUCUUUCCACAUUAUAUAGCACUAACCCGAGUUUACACUAUGCCAGUAAGGUGUUAUAAAUCUUCAUUAAUUUAGUUCAGUUAUAAUUUGCUUUUAUCUAUUAUAUUUUAAUUGUAAACACUUACUAAGCUUGACCCCGAAACUCGUUAGCUUUUGCCAUCGUGAGCUAAGCUCAUAAAUGCUGUUUGACCAGGAUCUUUACUGUUGGCUGAUCUGUUACACAAUUUUACAUGGAUUCCACCAAAGUGAUAAUUAGUUGUUCCGACUAUUGAAACUUUACACGAGUAUUUAAAGGCGUAUGCUAUGGUCAAAUGUCGAGAAAUAACAGAAUCCCCUCCCUCGUUUUAAAGUAACCUGCCUUUGAAUUAAAUUGAUGUUGGUUCCCUCCGUUCAUAAUACGGAAAAUUAACUUUACACAAACACCUUCCAAAACCUGCGUUUACUAUGCAAAGUGUUAAUGACUUGUUGUAUAAUUUACAAUAUGCUUUAUAACUUAUUGUUACGCUAGCAUACGUUUUUAAGGAUUUCGGCAGGAAAAGGGAUAAAUAAGACAUUUGCCCUCUUACAGAAAUACAUUACACGCUUAGAUUUAAAAUGUCUUGAUUUAUUCUAGCUUCGGGACUGGUUCGUUUUCAUUUUCGAGCCUCAUUAGUGGUAUAACAUCAUCUUUCAAUACACAAUUUGAUCUGGAACAGUUGACAGAGUUUGUGAACAGUAAACAGGACUUAGGAUCCGGUGCACGUGCUUUUGCUCAAGCUCUCGAGAAGACUAAGAGCAAUAUUAACUGGAUGAAUGCAAACGUCCCAGUGAUAGAGACUUGGCUUCAUGAUCAAGGCUAUUAAAAGUGUUGUCAACGAAGUAUAUAAGAUAUAAACACGUGUUGUAAAACAUCGACACCUAUGAGAUCAUCAAAAUCCAACAUCGUUACAUCUUACAUUGGUAUAAAAUGAUAACAUUUCACACAACAAACUAGUUUCAACUUCGAAAUUCAUCGAGUAAGAAAACACGAUGAUGAGUUGCUGAUUGCUGAUUGCUGCAAACAAACUUUUUCCUUUCUUUAAUACAUAUUUGAUCACCGUUGACAGCAUAUGGUAGUUUGAUCUUUUAUCAGUACGAGCGAUUACAGUUGAGGUUAUGCCACAAUCUCAAAUAAACAUUUCACCAUACAUUGCUUCGGUUGUUUUUUUUCUUUUUUUUUUCUUUUUUAAAUAUUUGAUGAUAUUUCAACAAGACAGUGGUAUAUCGGUAUAAAUUCUCGCUUUUAGCACUUCAGCAAGCUUUGAAUGAAAAUGAUUGCAGCAACAUUUGGCUAGUAAUUUUAUUAUCAAACUCUAUCAGCAUUACAUGCAAUUUUGUUAUUCAAUAACAUUUUUCAAUAAGUGAAAGCCAUAAAUGUUUUUAUUAUAAUUACUGUUGUUUUUUUUUUAAUACUACUUGUGUGUCAUGUAAUCAGAGUUCGAAAAUAUAAGUUGUGUUUUUUUUGUGUGCGUACCCUAUUUUUCACAGUUUAGAUGAUUUUAUUUCUGUUUUUAUGUCUAUACGUUUUUAAAAAGAACAAAGCAUUAAACAUUGACUAUGUUAUCGAUUGAUUUUCUGUAGAUAGUAUUGAAAAGAUAAGAAUACUAAGGCUGUCCUACUGGGCUCCUUGCCAAUGGUCCUGUGUUGUUGGGUCGUGUGAGGGUUGCUUUUAUUGAACGGCGCCCAUCGUUUCUGAUUUUGUUUUUCAUAUUAAUUUGGAAUAGAAUAUUUUUAAAAAAAGUUAUCAGUGGUAUUUUGAUGACCUGAAACCAAUCCGGGUGAAAUAGUGUAAACAUUCAAAAGUAGUUCAAAGAAUUGUAUGUAUUUAUGUGCAUGUAUCAGCGUCUUUUAAUAAUUGUAAUUCGUCAUCAGUUAUAUUAUGUUAAAUAAAGUAAAACACGCUACUAUAACAAUUUGAAUUCACUGCUUUUUAUUUAUUUUUUAUUGGAAAUAAUUUAUUUGAUAAGAAUAUGACCAAAAAAUAUACAUCUAUUUAUUUUAUAUCUGAUUUCGGUUUACGUUCUGGUAAAGGCGGUGUCAGUGGCCCUGGACGUGUUUCAUAUUUUGCAAUUAGAUUGUACUUAAAAGACUAUUAUCUUUUAUAAAGAAUCUCGCUCAAACGUUAAAUAUUCAUUUUGUGUCAGGGAUUCUUUUGAAUCAGAACGAACUUUGCCAUAACGAUAUAAAAGCAAAUAAGGAACAAAUGAAAAGAAUAGUUUUAUUAUAAUAUUUAAAUUUGAUUUAUCUAAAAUAUACAAACAUUUAUACAAGAAAAUAUUUACUUGAACUUAUAAGAAAUAGUAAAUUAUGAGACACAAUUGAAUGAAUAGUAUCUGUGCAACUUUUAAGAGCCCAUUAUGCCUAAGAAAUACAUAACUUUAUUUCUCAAAAUCCUUCUGAAUUUUGGUAUCUCUAUUGGUUAUUCGUAUAAUUAAACUGAAUUAGUUUUUUUUUAUAAAAGUCAAAAUACUUCCUCGUUUAGUUGUUGCUCCUCGAACUACACGUUAGUGCACAUUCAGUACUACUUUCUCCAGUUGUUAAACAUCUAAGAUGCUCUUAAACUCUAGAUUCAUAAUUAAAACAUUGUUUAACACGCGUUUGACGUUUCUAAAGAAUUUAAAAGAAAUGGAUUUCUUAGGCAUAACGUGCUAUUAUAUGAUUUUCUUAUAUAUAAAACAGCUGAAAUCGUAAGGAACAUUCUUUUUGCUUUUGACAUAAAAUAACGGACCACCUAACAAAAUAUUGUUGUCGCAUACUUGGUCCAAGACACAUGCUGUUUGUACCAUGUUCAUCAGUGUGUGAACAUGUACUUUUUGUUGACCUCUGUAAUUGGUAUCAAUAAACUAGCACUAGACUUUAAUCGAUCUAGCGUAACACUUUAACAAUCUUGUUGUUACAUGGAAUACAUUUACUCCAUGAUAGAGUUUGUCCCAGUUAAUUUUGGGGUCCAAACAAACUUUAACAGUUACAACCUCGAAAUAAAGUACAACAUGUUGACUUAUCUAUAGUGACCGGAAGUGCACUGUGAAGCCAUAACGGUUAAAGUUUGUUUGUACCCCAGAUUAGCUUGGAAAACCCCCAACGUAUUCUUUAGUGUUGUUGUUUAGCAAAUAUGCCAGUAAAUGCUGAUAGCAAUAUAUGCUGAUAGCAAUUAUAUUAUUCUUAUUUUUAUCACUUCGCUUUUCGCUCGAUCGUUUGUCAAUUGAACGCUUACAUAAGACCAACAUAGAUGGUAGUUGGUAGUCCGUUAUAUUAUGUUCCGAUUAAAACUGACUUCAUAUUUUAAUUAUUCAUAAAAUAUCAUACAUUUGCAAUAUUUUGAUUGUUUCUAAAUUAAACCUAAUAUACUUGAUCCAUUUUUUAUAUGAUAAAAAGAUAUUUGUUGAUAGAAUAAUGUAUAUAAUUAUAUUAGAAUAAAUUUCAUAAAAUAU